UAUAAUGUGGGGCAGACAGACGAGUGAAUACGUAGGGUUGAAGGCUUAAUUGGAGUGACUAGGCGUAAAGCGGACGCAGGUGGUUGGAUAAGGUAGAUGGGAAAGCCACUGGCUCAGCCUGGGAAUUGCAUUUAAAACUGUCCAGCUGGAGUCUUGUAGAGAGGGGUAGAAUUCCAGGUGUAGCGGUGAAAUGCGUAGAGAUCUGGAGGAAUACCGGUGGCGAAGGCGGCCCCCUGGACAAAGACUGACGCUCAGGUGCGAAAGCGUGGGGAGCAAACAGGAUUAGAUAGGCCGGUAGUC
RNAcentral lists this ribosomal RNA (300 nucleotides) under uncultured Roseomonas sp. Its description in RNAcentral is "bacterial SSU rRNA". The stretch from base 52 to 300 matches the Rfam family "Bacterial small subunit ribosomal RNA", at positions 547 to 795 of the family's 1533-position model. The record is from RNAcentral. Lineage: Bacteria; Pseudomonadati; Pseudomonadota; Alphaproteobacteria; Acetobacterales; Roseomonadaceae.